RNAcentral lists this ribosomal RNA (247 nucleotides) under uncultured bacterium. RNAcentral describes it as "partial 16S ribosomal RNA". It matches the Rfam family "Bacterial small subunit ribosomal RNA", at positions 85 to 339 of the family's 1533-position model. The record is from RNAcentral.
GAUUAAGAUAGUGGCGGACGGGUGAGUAACGCGUAGGAAUCUGCCGUACAGAGGGGGACAACAGUUGGAAACGGCUGCUAAUACCGUAUGAUACCUAAGGGUCAAAGGUUGCUUUUGGGCAGUCGCUGUAUGAUGAGCCUGCGUUGGAUUAGCUAGUUGGUAGGGUAAAGGCCUACCAAGGCGACGAUCUAUAGCUGGUCUGAGAGGACGAUCAGCCACACUGGGACUGAGACACGGCCCAGACUCC